This 851-nucleotide unclassified non-coding RNA is filed under the name Hevea brasiliensis (rubber tree). Lineage: Eukaryota; Viridiplantae; Streptophyta; Magnoliopsida; Malpighiales; Euphorbiaceae. The record is from RNAcentral.
GGUUACAUACUAAUUUGCAGCAGAGGGGUAUCUCUAAGUUGUUGAGGUUGGACUAUAAUAUCUUAUGUAUGAAGAGAUUUGAAAAUAAGGUAGCAGAUACUUUAUCAAAAAGGUCUGCAAACCUUCAUUAUUGUGCUAUUCAAUCUAUGGUGGUUCCUGCUUGGAUGUAGCAGUUGGUAGAUAGUUAUGAGGGGGAUCAUAAGGUAGAGAAAUAAUUCAGUAACUUUCUUUGGUUCCUCAUGCUGUUGUUAUCAAUUGAAGAAUGGAGUUUUGUUUUAUAAAGAUAGGCUUUAUGUAGGAAAUUCUACAACUUUGAGAAAUACUCUGCUGCAAACUUAUAAUAAUUCAACUGUGGGAUGUCACUCAGGAGUUAUAUCACUUAUUUGAGGUUGAAGAGGUAUUUCUUUAGGCCUAGCAUGCUUAAAGUGAUGGAAUGGCUAAAGUCUUGUGAUGUGUGCAAAGUGUAAGGGUGAGACAAGUCCUUAUCCAUGGAUGUUGUAGCCUCUUCCUAUUCCUUCACAAGCUUGCCAAGAGAUUUCAAUGGACUUUAUUGAGGGCCUUCCUAAAUCUAGAGGAGAAGAUACCAUUCUGGCAGUAGUUCAAAUUUACAGAAGUGGCACAUUUUAUUUCUCUACCACAUCCUUAUACAGCAGCAUCAAUAGCCCAUGUUUUUAUGGAUACUGUCUUCAAGCUUCAUGGAGUGGCUCAAGUUAAAGUCUUCACUAUCCUUUUUUGGCAAGAAGAGUGUUCAGGGUUAAAAUUGGCUAUGAGUUCAACCUAUCACCCUUAAUCAAAUGCAUAGUUAUUAAAGGCUUAAGGCGCACUAAGGCGCCAAGGGAUCCAUGAGCUUA